RNAcentral lists this ribosomal RNA (2968 nucleotides) under metagenome. RNAcentral describes it as "bacterial LSU rRNA". It matches the Rfam family "Bacterial large subunit ribosomal RNA". The record is from RNAcentral.
UUAAGCUAAUAAGAGCGUAGAGGUGAAUGCCUUGGCAUCAGGAGCCGAUGAAGGACGUGGUAAGCUGCGAUAAGCUGCGGUAAGUUGCAAACAAACAUUAUACCCGCAGAUUUCCGAAUGGGGAAACCCACAUGGAGUCAUGUCCAUGUAUCAUACACUGAAUACAUAGGUGUAUGAGGGGAACCGUCUGAACUGAAACAUCUAAGUAGGACGAGGAAAAGAAAUCAACCGAGAUUCCGCUAGUAGUGGCGAGCGAAAGCGGAAGAGGCUAAACCAUAGGCAGCAAUGUCUAUGGGGUUUUGGACUGCAUUUAGCAUUGAUGAAUUCUAGAAGAAACGCAUGGGAAGGCGUACCGAAGAGUGUGAUAGUCACGUAAUCAAAAGAUGAAAUCAGCGAGCAGUAUCCGGAGUACCGCGGGACACGUGAAACCCCGUGGGAAGAUGGGGGGACCAUCCUCCAAGCCUAAAUACUACCUGAUGACCGAUAGCGAAUAGUACUGUGAAGGAAAGGUGAAAAGAACCCCGGGAGGGGAGUGAAAAAGAACCUGAAACCCUAUGCUUACAAGCACUGAGAGCACGUCAAUGUGUGAUCAGGUACCUAUUGUAGAAUGGUCCGGCGAGUUAUGGUAUACAGCGAGGUUAAGCGAUUAAGUCGUGAAGCCGAAGCGAAAGCGAGUGUUAACUGCACGAAUAAGUUGUAUGCUAUAGACCCGAAACCGGGUGACCUAUCCAUGUCCAGGCUGAAGUCAAGGUAAAACUUGAUGGAGGGCCGAACCCACUCCCGUUGAAAUGGUAGGGGAUGAGGUGUGGAUAGCGGUGAAAUUCCAAUCGAACCCGGAUAUAGCUGGUUCUCCUCGAAAUAGCUUUAGGGCUAGCCUCGAGAAAAGAUUAUCGGAGGUAAAGCACUGAAUGAGCUAGGGGCCGAGAGGUUACCGAACUCUAUCAAACUAAGAAUGCCGAAUAAUCGUUGCUCGGGAGUCAGACAGUGUGAGAUAAGUUUCAUUGUCGAAAGGGAAAGAGCCCAGACCCACAGCUAAGGUCCCCAAGUACAUUUAAGUGGAAAAGGAUGUGGAAUUGCACAGACAACCAGGAUGUUGGCUUAGAAGCAGCCAUACAUUUAAAGAGUGCGUAAUAGCUCACUGGUCGAGUGAUUCUGCGCCGAAGAUUUAACGGGGCUAAAGUGUACACCGAAGCUUGGGCUUGACAGUAAUGUCAGGGGUAGGGGAGCGUCGUAUAUGGAGUGAAGUCGUAUCGUAAGGGACGGUGGACUGUAUACGAGUGAGAAUGCCGGAAUGAGUAGCGCGAAUUGUGUGAGAAUCACAAUGGCCGAAAACCUAAGGUUUCUGGAGGAAGGUUCGUCCGCUCCAGGUAAGCCGGGAGCUAAGGUCAGGCCGAAAGGCGUAGCCGAUGCACAUAUAGUUGAAAUUCUAUAGCCUCAGAAAGAUUUAAGCAGAGGGACACUUUUGGAUGGAUGUAGCCGGGCGAUGGUUGCCCCGGUCGUAAGCGAGCGAAAUAUAAGUAGUGAAGUACAUCUUGAAGAGAGGCGAGAAAAGCUCUGUGUAUAUCUUAUGAGCCCGUACCGCAAACCGACACAGGUAGGUAGGAUGAGGAUUCUAAGGCCAACGGGAGAAGGGUAGUUAAGGAACUCGGCAAAUUGACCCCGUAACUUCGGGAGAAGGGGAGCCGACGCUCAAUCAAGCUAUUAGCAUGAUUGCAGCAAAGAAAAGGAUAUAUUAAUAUAUUUUUUAAAAAAAGUGAUAAUAGGAGUUUAGUUCGACUUUUAAUAUCAAAGAAAAGCAAUCGUGCGAUGUUUUGAUUGAGCGUCGGCCGCAGUGAAACGGCCCAGGCGACUGUUUAUCAAAAACACAGCUCUAUGCUAAAUCGAAAGAUGAUGUAUAUGUGGUGACACCUGCCCAGUGCUGGAAGGUUAAGAGGAGAUGUGAGAGCAUUGAAUUGAAGCCCCAGUAAACGGCGGCCGUAACUAUAACGGUCCUAAGGUAGCGAAAUUCCUUGUCAGGUAAGUUCUGACCCGCACGAAUGGUGUAACGAUCUGGGCACUGUCUCAACUACCCGCCCGGCGAAAUUGUAGUACCGGUGAAGAUGCCGGUUACCCGCGACUAGACGGAAAGACCCCAUGGAGCUUUACUGUAGCUUAAUAUUGGAUUUUGGCAUUUCAUGUACAGGAUAGGUGGGAGACUAGGAAGCAUAGGCGUUAGCUUAUGUGGAGUCACCCUUGGGAUACCACUCUUGAAGUGCUGAAAUUCUAACCUGCAACCCUGAAUCGGGUUGGGGGACAUUGUUAGGUGGGCAGUUUGACUGGGGCGGUCGCCUCCUAAAAAGUAACGGAGGCGCUCAAAGGUUAGCUCAGUAUGGACGGAAACCAUACAGAGAGUGUAAACGCAGAAGCUAGCCUAACUGCGAGACCGACGGGUCGAGCAGUAACGAAAGUUGGAGUUAGUGAUCCGGCGGUAUGUGAAUGGAAAUGCCGUCGCUCAACGGAUAAAAGUUACCCUGGGGAUAACAGGCUGAUCUCCCCCAAGCGUCCACAGCGACGGGGAGGUUUGGCACCUCGAUGUCGGCUCGUCACAUCCUGGGGCUGUAUUCGGUCCCAAGGGUUCGGCUGUUCGCCGAUUAAAGUGGCACGCGAGCUGGGUUCAGAACGUCGUGAGACAGUUCGGUCCCUAUCUGUCGUGGGCGUAGGAUAUUUGAAAGGCGCUGUCCCUAGUACGAGAGGACCGGGAUGGACGCACCUCUGGUGCACCAGUUGUCACGCCAGUGGCACGGCUGGGCAGCUAUGUGCGGAAAGGAUAAACGCUGAAAGCAUCUAAGCGUGAAGCCUCCCUUAAGAUAAGAUAUCCCACAGCGUAAGCUGGUAAGACCCCUUGUAGACUACAAGGUUGAUAGGCUCAAAGUGUAAGUGCAGUAAUGUAUUUAGCUAGCGAGUACUAAUCGGUCGAGGGCUUAAACCU